Ricinus communis (castor bean) is the source of this 961-nucleotide long non-coding RNA. RefSeq lists it as uncharacterized. The transcript has 2 exons. The record is from RefSeq and is a predicted model, not a curated record. Lineage: Eukaryota; Viridiplantae; Streptophyta; Magnoliopsida; Malpighiales; Euphorbiaceae.
GCCAGGAUAUAUACUGAUUUACUUCAUAAAUGGAGGGGCAAGGGACGACUCCCAUUUGUUCCAAAGGAGUUAUGGGAUAGAUGGCAAGCGAAGUGGUCCGAGAGUUCUUCCUAAGAAAUUGUAACGCGACAAUCGAGGAACCGUUGUAGUGAGACAAGAGGCCCUGGAUUAGGGCCGACACAGCACACUUGCAACUUCAUCUCUAUUUAAGAGCAUGCUAGAAGAAUUGUAAGGUUGUUACGUAUUAUAUUCUCAAUAUAAUUUAAAAAGUUAUGAAAAAUGCUAAUUAUUUUAUUUUCAAGAGAUGGCUGAAGGUGUAGCCCUGGGCAAGAUCUGGCUGUUCCAUGAGACCCACAUGACCAAAAUGCUCUAAUGGAUCAAGGCAAUAUAUGGAUGAGCGUACCAAGUAAGUUAGGGAAAGCCUUGAGGAGAGCAUAGCGGAGGCGUCUCACGAUGAAGUCGGUAACACGGUGACACUGUCCUAGGAGGAGGAGGAAGAAUUUUCUUAAAGACAGUUCAAGAUUCAUUGUAUAGCAAAUAUGUAUAAGGGAUGGGAACUAAUAAGACAUCUUCAUAUCACUCUGAUGCCUCGACCUCCAUAACUGCCACUUGUGGGAUUGACGAGCACCGCUUUCAAUAGCUUCAAAACACUACCUUGCAGCUGGUGCACCAGCUGCGUGAGAAAGAUGAGCGGAUUCAGCAGUUGAAGACCACCAUGCGCCAGUUGGUGCAGGGGUUGACCUAAAGCACUCAGCAAUAUGUCCUCGGUUCCUUUACCAGACUCCUCAGUGAUGAUUCGCAAGAAGAUUCACAAUCUGGCAAGUUAUGAGUUUAUUAUUACUUCUCCUUUUAUAUUCUUAGCACUCUAUGGCUGUUCAUCCAAUUUGUGAUAUGGAAUUUUGUUAUUUUAUUAUUUUUAAAGUAUUUGCAUUUAACAUUAUAAAAUUCUUAAUUUAGAUUA